Molecule: long non-coding RNA, 642 nt
Filed under: Eucalyptus grandis
Lineage: Eukaryota; Viridiplantae; Streptophyta; Magnoliopsida; Myrtales; Myrtaceae
Description: long non-coding RNA (EGRA_LNC006623)
Source: RNAcentral
UUGGGUCAGGGUUCGAACAUUGUUCGACCCGAAACAAGUUUUCUAAAGUCCAAACACGCCAAAACCCAAAAACACAGACACGAACAGUCGAACACAACUCAAGCACUGAAGGCUGAAGCACAUACCUCGUCGGCUCCGCCUUCUUCUCCGACGAGUGCGCCUUCUCGUGGAGUCCGCUGCCGCCCUCCGAUCGACGCGCCUCCGCCUCACCGUCACCAUCACCACCCAUCGCCUCCUCCUCGCCGACGCCGAAACCCUUGCCGCCGCGUGCGGCCGACCAUUGUCGACAGCUUGGGGACUGGGUUCGCUCGGCGAUCAUGGCGCUCGCUUCUCGCCUCGUUUCCAAGCUUAGAUGUAUAUUUGCUUGAGGCUUGAGCUAAGACACCGGAUAUUGUUCCUUUUCUUUUCGAGCUGCGAGGGUGAUUGUUCUUUCGCGUUGUGUGCAGACUCUGUGUUUGCUUCAAUUCCUGAGUGAACUGCGACGUACAGUUUUUGAGCGAUCGUGACACUGAAGUUAGCGGGUUCCCAUGUCGGCAUAUCUCGCGAAGCUUGCUCGCAUCUCCGUGAAACCAUACUGAAGUGAGGAUCAUCCACGGGACAUGAUGGGUUCGGAGGUUGAAACGCUUGAGGAGAGAUUGAAGU